RNAcentral lists this ribosomal RNA (478 nucleotides) under uncultured bacterium. RNAcentral describes it as "partial 16S ribosomal RNA". It matches the Rfam family "Bacterial small subunit ribosomal RNA", at positions 28 to 523 of the family's 1533-position model. The record is from RNAcentral.
GACGAACGCUGGCGGCGUGCUUAACACAUGCAAGUCGAACGGUAAGGCCCUUCGGGGUACACGAGUGGCGAACGGGUGAGUAACACGUGGGUGAUCUGCCCUGCACUUCGGGAUAAGCCUGGGAAACUGGGUCUAAUACCGGAUAGGACCCUGGGAUGCAUGUCCUGGGGUGGAAAGCUUUGGCGGUGUGGGAUGGGCCCGCGGCCUAUCAGCUUGUUGGUGGGGUGAUGGCCUACCAAGGCGACGACGGGUAGCCGGCCUGAGGGGGUGACCGGCCACACUUGGACUGAGAUACGGCCCAGACUCCUACGGGAGGCAGCAGUGGGGAAUAUUGCACAAUGGGCGCAAGCCUGAUGCAGCGACGCCGCGUGAGGGAUGACGGCCUUCGGGUUGUAAACCUCUUUCAGCACCGACGAAGCGCAAGUGACGGUAGGUGCAGAAGAAGGACCGGCCAACUACGUGCCAGCCGCCGCGGUAA